UGAGGAAUUUUCCACAAUGGACGAAAGUCUGAUGGAGCAACGCCGCGUGCAGGAAGACGGCCUUCGGGUUGUAAACUGCUUUUAUUUGGGAAGAUUAUGACGGUACCAAAUGAAUAAGGAUCGGCUAACUACGUGCCAGCAGCCGCGGUAAUACGUAGGAUCCAAGCGUUAUCCGGAAUUACUGGGCGUAAAGCGUACGUAGGUGGAGAUUUAAGUGAGAUGCGAAAUCUGGCGGCUCAACCGUCUAGACUGUGUCUCAUACUGGGUUUCUUGAGGUUGGCAGAGGCAAGUGGAAUUUCCGGUGUAGCAGUGAAAUGCGUAGAGAUCGGAAGGAACACCAAUGGCGAAGGCAGCUUGCUGGGCCACACCUGACACUGAGGUACGAAAGCGUGGGGAGCGAACAGGAUUAGAUACCCCCGUAGUCC
This 425-nucleotide ribosomal RNA is filed under the name uncultured bacterium. Its description in RNAcentral is "bacterial SSU rRNA". It matches the Rfam family "Bacterial small subunit ribosomal RNA", at positions 355 to 796 of the family's 1533-position model. The record is from RNAcentral.